CCGAUGUAGCUCAGCUGGUAGAGCAACUCAUUCGUAAUGAGUAGGUCGCGGGUUCGAAUCCCUUCAUCGG
Molecule: transfer RNA, 70 nt
Filed under: Candidatus Spyradomonas excrementavium
Lineage: Bacteria; Bacillati; Candidatus Melainabacteria; Candidatus Gastranaerophilales; Candidatus Gastranaerophilaceae
Also listed under: 1 other name
Rfam family: tRNA
About the family: Transfer RNA (tRNA) molecules are approximately 80 nucleotides in length. Their secondary structure includes four short double-helical elements and three loops (D, anti-codon, and T loops).
Source: RNAcentral